GAUGAAGAACGCAGCGAAAUGCGAUAAGUAAUGUGAAUUGCAGAAUUCAGUGAAUCAUCGAAUCUUUGAACGCACCUUGCGCCCUUUGGACAUUCCGAAGGGCAUGCCUGUUUGAGUAUCAUGAACACCUCAACUCUCACGGCUUGUCCGUGAUGAGCUUGGACUUUGGGGGUCUUGCCGGCCUGUGGUCGGCUCCUCUCAAAUGGAUCAGCUUGCCAGUGUUUGGUGGCAUCACAGGUGUGAUAACUAUCUGCGCUUGUGGUUUUCCAUCAGAUAACCUUCAGUGAUAUGGAGGUUCGCUGGAGCUCACAAAUGUCUCUCCUUAGUGAGGACAGCUCUUUGAACGUUCGAUCUCAAAUCAGGUAGGACUACCCGCUGAACUUAAGCAUAUCAAUAAGCGGAGGA
This 405-nucleotide unclassified non-coding RNA is filed under the name soil metagenome. RNAcentral's name for it is "partial contains 5.8S ribosomal RNA, internal transcribed spacer 2, and large subunit ribosomal RNA". The stretch from base 1 to 121 matches the Rfam family "5.8S ribosomal RNA", at positions 35 to 154 of the family's 154-position model. The record is from RNAcentral.